ACCCGCUGAAUUUAAGCAUAUAAGUAAGUGGUGGAAAUUAAACCAAAUGGGAUAUCUUUAGUAAUUGCGAAUGAACAAGGAUAUGCUUAGCUUGACAAAUGGAGCUAUUGGCUUUGAAUUGUAUUGUGGAAAUGUAUUACCAACAGAGGUGCAGGUGCCAGCCUAUUGAAAUAAAGCGUCAAUGAGGGUGAGAAUCCUGUUUGUCAUGUGCAGCCCUUUGUGCACGGUGUAUAUUUGCUGAGUCACACUCCUUGGCAUUGGAAUGCAAAGUGGGUGGUAAGUUUCAUGUAAAGGUAAACAUGCAAUUGAGACUGAUAGCACACAAGUACCAUGAGGGAAAUAUGAAAAGGACUUUGAAAAGAGAAUUAAAUGAGUUUGUAUUUGCUGAACACAAAGUAAACAGACUUGAUUUGCUUGGUGGGAGUGUUGCACUUGCUUGACAAGAGCUUUGGGCUGUGGGUGUAAUGAUUCUUUCUUUGCAUGCCAGUUUCUAUUUGUACAUCUGAUUACCUUUGCACAUGAAUGAUAAGUCUCCUGUGGGGGGUGGAUUGCAUGUGCAUGUAAUGAUUUGUGUUUUGAUAAAUGUGUCUGGUGUAUGUGUGUGUUCCUGUGCUUGGGGAUGCUUCCUUCCUUGGACUUACAAGCCCUGACACACACAUGCUGGCAAAAUGCUUCUGCUUGACCCGUCUUGAAACACGGACCAAAGG
RNAcentral lists this ribosomal RNA (707 nucleotides) under Alexandrium tamarense. RNAcentral describes it as "LSU rRNA". It matches the Rfam family "Eukaryotic large subunit ribosomal RNA", at positions 23 to 672 of the family's 3401-position model. The record is from RNAcentral. Lineage: Eukaryota; Dinophyceae; Gonyaulacales; Pyrocystaceae.